This 388-nucleotide ribosomal RNA is filed under the name uncultured bacterium. Its description in RNAcentral is "bacterial SSU rRNA". It matches the Rfam family "Bacterial small subunit ribosomal RNA", at positions 28 to 417 of the family's 1533-position model. The record is from RNAcentral.
GACGAACGCUGGCGGCGUGCUUAACACAUGCAAGUCGAGCGGUAAGGCCCUUUCGGGGUACGACGAGCGGCGAACGGGUGAGUAACACGUGGGUGACCUGCCCUCAGCUCUGGGAUAAGCCUGGGAAACCGGGUCUAAUACUGGAUAUGACUCCAUGACGCAUGUUGUGGGGUGGAAAGCCUUGUGCGGCUGAGGAUGGGCCCGCGGCCUAUCAGCUUGUUGGCGGGGUGANGGCCUACCAAGGCGACGACGGGUAGCCGGCCUGAGAGGGCGACCGGCCACACUGGGACUGAGACACGGCCCAGACUCCUACGGGAGGCAGCAGUGGGGAAUCUUGCGCAAUGGGCGAAAGCCUGACGCAGCGACGCCGCGUGAGGGAUGACGGCCU